Pelobates cultripes (western spadefoot toad) is the source of this 287-nucleotide non-coding RNA. Lineage: Eukaryota; Metazoa; Chordata; Amphibia; Anura; Pelobatidae. The record is from the annotation of a GenBank genome assembly.
CUAAACGCCGCCGGGCGUAAUAGUACGCCCUCCGGUCUUUCUGUACUUACCCGGUCGCCGGCGGUCCCACGCCGGCGAUCGCGGUGGGGGGGACUCCCAGGGACCCCCCCGCGGCACGACCGUCCUCCAGGAAGCCCCCCGGCCGUGUGAGAGUGGGGUCCUAGCGAGGACCCCACAAUCACAUGGCCGGGUAUAGCUGGCUUCUGUAUUGCCAGCAGGGGGGCUGCCUGUAAUUACACGGGGUCCCCCUGCUGGCUGAAAAUAAAAGUAAAAUAAGUUAAAAGUGU